GAUGAACGCUGGCGGCGUGCCUAAUACAUGCAAGUCGAGCGAACAGACGAGGAGCUUGCUCCUCUGACGUUAUCGGCGGACGGGAGCUUCACACGUGGUUAACCUACCUAUCCGACUGGGAUACCUUCGGGAAACCGGGGCUACUACCGGAUAAUAUAUUGCACCGCAUUGUUCCCUAGUGAAAUACGGUUUUUCUUUCACUUAUAGCUGGAUCCGCGCCGCAUUCGCUAGUUGGUACGGUAACGGCUUAGCAAGGCAACGAUGGUUACCCGACCUCAGAGGGUGAUCGCACAGACGGGCACUGAGACACGGUCGAGACUCCUAGGGUGGGCAGCAGUAGGGAAUCUUACGGGAUGGGGGAAAGCGGGACGGAGCAACGUCGGGUGAGGGAUGAAGGACUUCGGAUGGGAAAGCCCUGUUGGUAGGGAAGAACAAAAGUGUAAUUACCCGGGAAGGUAUUGACGGUACCGAAAGAGAAAGCCACGGCUAACUACGUG
This 497-nucleotide ribosomal RNA is filed under the name uncultured bacterium. RNAcentral describes it as "partial 16S ribosomal RNA". It matches the Rfam family "Bacterial small subunit ribosomal RNA", at positions 28 to 507 of the family's 1533-position model. The record is from RNAcentral.